Molecule: long non-coding RNA, 861 nt
Organism: Emys orbicularis (European pond turtle)
Lineage: Eukaryota; Metazoa; Chordata; Testudines; Emydidae
Exons: 2
Source: RefSeq, a predicted model, not a curated record
GCACCCCGAGCCAAGAUGUGCAGACACAUCAGCAAACAGUCGUGCGCGCGAUUGUGUUUUUCCCGGCCGGGAGGCUGCCACAACACAAGGAGCAGCCGCUGCGUCCAUCGCCCUCAGCCACCCGCUUCUCCGUAUGAGACACGGAGGCCCCCAGCGGGAGGCUCCCCAGCUGCUACACCAGGCGGCAUGCCACAUUCUGGAGGACAUAACAAUCCUGGAGGUUCCUGACUGCAAAGGGGCAUAGGAGCAACCCACCCAUGUAUACCAAAGAUGUUUCCAAGCUCCUGGUAACUGAGCAACACAUCUACAAAUGGAAUGGCUGGUGACUUACAGAUGGAGGCCCGGAAGACAUGCUCUUUCCUGAAAUGUUACUACCCAUCUGGAGUGCCUACUCUGGAAAAAAGUUUGCAGCUAUCAGCACCCAGCAUUGGGUUAAAAUUCCUGGGGGGAUUAACAGGGUGCUGUGCUAGCAUCCACAUGGCUUACUGCCUCCCUGUAAGCUGCUGAAGUCUCUGGGUUCAUGCAGUUACCCGGGUUCAGCUAUGGCUUAUGAUAUCACCUACUCAGACUAUAUCUACCUAUGGACCACAAACACACACAGGACAAUACAGACUCUCAGAGAACAGCCAUCACCGCCCCUCCCCCAUUUGCCAGCACAUUUCUGGACUGCAUACAACCCCCCCUGCCAUAUUUCAGACAGGAUUUCCCCUCCCCCAUACAGUUUACAGUGUAGCUUGAUCAAUUUGUACAGUGCGGCUUACUAUAAGAGAAAGCAAUAUAAAAGUUCUUACUUUUAACACCAAAGCACAUCUUUGUAAGAAUGUGAGAGUAUCUAGUAAAAAUUUUGCUUGUGUUACUGCU